GAUGAACGCUAGCUACAGGCUUAACACAUGCAAGUCGAGGGGUAACAAGAGAAAAGCUUGCUUUUCUUGUUGACGACCGGCGCACGGGUGAGUAACGCGUAUCCAACCUGCCUAUAACUAGGGAAUAACCUUGCGAAAGUAAGACUAAUACCCUAUGAUUUCCUUUGAUGACAUCAGAUUAGGAAUAAAGAUUUAUCGGUUAUAGAUGGGGAUGCGUCUGAUUAGCUUGUUGGCGGGGUAACGGCCCACCAAGGCAACGAUCAGUAGGGGUUCUGAGAGGAAGGUCCCCCACAUUGGAACUGAGACACGGUCCAAACUCCUACGGGAGGCGGCAGUGAGGAAUAUUGGUCAAUGGGCGGAAGCCUGAACCAGCCAAGUAGCGUGCAGGAUGACGGCUCUAUGGGUUGUAAACUGCUUUUAUACAGGAAUAAAGUUAGCCACGUGUGGUUAUUUGUAGGUACUGUAUGAAUAAGGACCGGCUAACUCCGUGCCAGCCGCCGCCGUAA
This 506-nucleotide ribosomal RNA is filed under the name uncultured bacterium. RNAcentral's name for it is "partial 16S ribosomal RNA". It matches the Rfam family "Bacterial small subunit ribosomal RNA", at positions 28 to 523 of the family's 1533-position model. The record is from RNAcentral.